This is a long non-coding RNA of Diceros bicornis minor, 705 nucleotides long. RefSeq lists it as uncharacterized. Lineage: Eukaryota; Metazoa; Chordata; Mammalia; Perissodactyla; Rhinocerotidae. The record is from RefSeq and is a predicted model, not a curated record. The transcript has 3 exons.
CCAGUUCACUUCACUGGUCUCUAAGAAAGCCCUCGCUCUUCAAGUCUCUGCAACAAGUUCCACUAUUUUGGGGGAACCUCGGUGUCCACAUAGACAUCCCACUGGCACUAAAACCUGGCAAAUCCUGUCAGCCUUGUUUUCAGGUGCUGUCGCCUGGAAAGGCGUCCAGUUCUGUUCUCAUCUUUCCAGUUUUUGCCUGCCUGCCAUCUGGAUGGCCCCAAGGUAAUGGUGUGGCCCUCCAGAGUGCUGCCCGACAGUCUGCUGCUCAGAACCACUGCCAUGGGAGCCCCCUCCACACCUGGGCCUGCUCCCUACUGCCACCACUCUGGCCAAGGAAGAUACCUUUGCAUGAGACCCCUUGCCCCAGAAAGAGGUGCAGCUCCUGCAGUCGCUGAAGCAGGGAAGCAGAUCAUCAGGGAUAGGGGCCCUGGGGGACAAGUCCCCUUCUUACCAGGCUAGAUUGGGUUGACUUUUCUCCCCUUCACUACUCCAGCCCGGCAGGGCAGGUGGUGGUACAGGAGGACCCCUUCUUACCCCACCCCCAAACCCCUCACCGGCAAGUGCAGGAAGGUGAAAUCCAGCAGCUGCACCAGCUGGUUACCAGCCAGGUAGAGUACGCGCAGCUGGGCCAGGCCAGUGAAAGCGCCAACCCGCAAGCCGCGCAGCCGGUUGCUUGUGAGCGCCAGCUCCAGCAGGCGCGGCUGU